RNAcentral lists this ribosomal RNA (301 nucleotides) under uncultured bacterium. RNAcentral's name for it is "partial 16S ribosomal RNA". It matches the Rfam family "Bacterial small subunit ribosomal RNA", at positions 509 to 807 of the family's 1533-position model. The record is from RNAcentral.
CAGUAGCCGCGGUAAUACGAGGGGAGCUAGCGUUGUACGGAAUCACUGGGCGUAAAGCGCGCGUAGGCGGCCUUUUAAGUCAGAGGUGAAAGCCCGGGGCUCAACCCCGGAAUUGCCUUUGAAACUGGAAAGCUAGAAUCUUGGAGAGGUCAGUGGAAUUCCGAGUGUAGAGGUGAAAUUCGUAGAUAUUCGGAAGAACACCAGUGGCGAAGGCGACUGACUGGACAAGUAUUGACGCUGAGGUGCGAAAGCGUGGGGAGCAAACAGGAUUAGAUACCCCCGUAGUCCCUGUCUCUUAUAC